UACGUAGGGGGCUAGCGUUGUCCGGAUUCAUUGGGCGUAAAGCGCGUGUAGGCGGCUAUGUAAGUCGGAUGUGAAAGCCCCGGGCUCAACUCGGGAAGUGCACUCGAUACUGCGUAGCUAGAGUACCGGAGAGGUUGGUGGAAUUCUCGGUGUAGAGGUGAAAUGCGUAGAUAUCUGGAGGAACACCGGUGGCGAAGGCGGCGUUCUGGACUGCAACUGACACUGAGGAACGAAAGCCAGGGGAGCAAACGGG
RNAcentral lists this ribosomal RNA (253 nucleotides) under uncultured bacterium. RNAcentral's name for it is "partial 16S ribosomal RNA". It matches the Rfam family "Bacterial small subunit ribosomal RNA", at positions 524 to 776 of the family's 1533-position model. The record is from RNAcentral.